UCCCUUAGGAACCGACAGCAGGGCCGGGCCUCGUUCCCGCCCCUGGCGGAGGCCGAGGCUGGGUCACUCGGGGACGAGGAGCUCCCCGGGCGCACCCGCUCGCCGCCCAUCCCUGGCCUCCGCCUCGGCUGCGGGAGGUGGAGCCGGGUCCCCGCGGAAGCCCGGACCGCCGCCCUCCUCCUGCUCGCCGCCCCCGGGGAGCGGCCGGAGCCUGGGGCGCUCCGCCCACUCGGCCCGCGGGACCUCAGCCCACCCGCAUCUCCCCCAGGCGCGUCGUCCCUGGCGGCUGCUUCCGGCAACCCGAGCCCCCGCAAGCCCGCGUCUCUGCAGGCUCCCAGACGUGCGGCGCCCACCGCGCGGGCUCCAGGCGCGCGGCCCCACGGUUCCCGCCUCGACACACGGCCCCCGCGUCUCGCGGUCCCGACUCCCCCGCCCAGCUGUCGGGCUCCAAGGCAGCAUCCUGCCCUCUGCCAAGAGUAGUCUCUAGGCAGCCACCUGCCUCCGCCUGGGAUGGGAGUCCCCUCCCGACGUCUGCGGGGGUGUCGCGGCUCCCCCCACCCCUGCGGCGGCCGGAGAGCCCGCGUGCUGUCCAUACCCCGCGCGAAGCCUGCCAUCCCCUCCCCCAGCCCCGGGCUAGCCCAGCCGCGCGGUCUCCACCUGGCAGGGGUUCCCCCUCCCCCGACGAGCAGGCGCCCGCCUCUCGGGUAGACAGACCGUAAGUAGUCCUGGCCACCCCGGGUCGCCUUGCUUCCCGGUGCGGACGGGGGGCAUCUCCCGCCAGAGCCAGGUGCAGGACGCCCCUCUCCAUCUCAACCGCGCUUCUAGGGGAGGCAGCCCCUCCAGCUCCCUCACUCGCUUCUUGGGGUCUCCAAGAGUUCCCCUUGUCUCCUGAAUACCCUGGGACAGGAUCGCUCUCCCCUGGUCCAGGUCCCAGGCUGCUUCUUCCGACCCUUUCUCUGUACAUGCCCCCGAUGAUGUUAUUCCAGCCCACAGGGAGGAAAACCCUUCCUUGCAAGACCCCGCUGCAGCCUGGGUUCUCAGGCGUGGCUUAUUUAGGGGCUCACGCUUCGCGCUCCGGCUGGCUCCCCGGCACUGAGAGGCGGCAGAAAAGGACCAGCAUCCCCAGGUAACUUACCGGAGCUUGCUGGAGAGAAGCGCCGAAGUUAAGCAUGGUUGGCUGCCCGGCCGCAGGUCGCGAGCUGCCUGGUUGCUGGCUGCCUAAACCACAGACGGGAGCGCUGAGACACUAGACGUCGACGCCACCGCGCUCCGCGCUGUCUGCCCCCCUCCCCGUGCAGUGCUUCCUUGCCAUGUUGGUGAAGCCUUCCUUGAAAAGGAAUUCCAGGCUGAAUUAUUUUGCUGCCUCUCCUCCAAAGCACCUUAUGUUGAAUGUCACGUUAGUGAGGAGAGAACAAUGCAGCCAAGAGUGCAGAACUCUCCAGCAGUGCUGGGCAUCAACGGGUGCCACCUCUCAGGGAAGCAGUAUGGCGCUUUCAACACCCACCCCCAACCUACCACCAAGUGGUUGAGAGCAAACAGAGUCUAGGUGUGACGGAAGUGUUCAGCUUGCAGAUUCCCGUGGCUUGGUUUGGCAAGGAGAAUCACAUGAAGUUUUCCCAGUGACUGUGCAGGUGGUGGGUAGCCACACCCAGUGCCUUGCGGCCGGAGGCAGACACCAGCUUCCCAUGUCGUACAUGACGAAGCCCCCAUCUGCCAAGGAACUGACUGAGUAACAGCACGAGACUCCUCACCCCAAGGCCGACUGUAAUUAGUAUCUGCUGUUGGUGAGUUCUUCAGGAGGUUUCUACCACAGCCUCUCCGGGGGACCUAGCCUGGGAGUGGGGGAAGAACUGGCUGGAUUGGGGUUGCUGUGUGUCCUUCAGGCUUGGUAAUCUCUGCUACUGGGGAGGCUGCCUCGAGGACCAAAACUUCGAGGCCAACGCCUGCAUGUGAAUCAAGGCCAGCCUGGGAAAUUUCCUGAGACUCUGACUAAAAGUUUAAAAAAAUUAAAGACAGGACUGGAGGCCCAGUGUGAUGGCUCAAUGGGUAAGAGCCCUUGCCACCAAACCUAACAGCAUGAGGGGUCCCUGACUGCUGUGCCCUGCUCUCUGGCCACGCCUCACCUUGGGAACCCAUGUCAGUGGAGCCUAGGUACCUGCCUUGGGCUUCAAGGCAGCAGCUGUCCCUCCCGCAGACAUGCCUCCUCCUGGGCCCCUUCCCGGUAUAGAGCUGUGGAUUCUGCCCAGUCCCCACUGCUGUAGACCUGCCACGCACACUCAUCUACUCCAGUCACAUCCAAAAUAUCGGGGAUAAAAUCCUGAUAAAGGAUAAGA
Mastomys coucha (southern multimammate mouse) is the source of this 2333-nucleotide long non-coding RNA. RefSeq lists it as uncharacterized. The record is from RefSeq and is a predicted model, not a curated record. NCBI's taxonomy places the organism in Eukaryota, Metazoa, Chordata, Mammalia, Rodentia, Muridae. The transcript has 4 exons.